GCGGGUAUAGUUUAGUGGCAAAACGCGUGCUUCCCAAGCAUGAGAUCGGGGUCCGAUUCCCCGUACCCGCA
Molecule: transfer RNA, 71 nt
Filed under: Patescibacteria group bacterium
Lineage: Bacteria
Description: tRNA-Gly
Rfam family: tRNA
About the family: Transfer RNA (tRNA) molecules are approximately 80 nucleotides in length.
Source: RNAcentral